UUGGCGGACGGGUGAGAAACGCGUGAGAAACCUGCCUUUCACAAAGGGAUAGCCUCGGGAAACUGGGAUUAAUACCUUAUGAUACUCCUAGAUCGCAUGAUCUGGAAGUUAAAGCGUAAAGCGGUGAAAGAUGGUCUCGCGUCCUAUUAGCUAGUUGGUAAGGUAACGGCUCACCAAGGCUGCGAUAGGUAGCCGGCCUGAGAGGGCGAACGGCCACACUGGAACUGAGACACGGUCCAGACUCCUACGGGAGGCAGCAGUGGGGAAUAUUGCACAAUGGAGGAAACUCUGAUGCAGCGACGCCGCGUGAAUGAUGAAGGCCUUCGGGUCGUAAAGUUCUGUCCUUGGGGAAGAUAAUGACGGUACCCAAGGAGGAAGCCCCGGCUAACUACGUGCCAGCAGCCGCGGUAAU
Molecule: ribosomal RNA, 412 nt
Filed under: uncultured Clostridium sp.
Lineage: Bacteria; Bacillati; Bacillota; Clostridia; Eubacteriales; Clostridiaceae
Description: bacterial SSU rRNA
Rfam family: Bacterial small subunit ribosomal RNA
Source: RNAcentral